RNAcentral lists this ribosomal RNA (253 nucleotides) under uncultured bacterium. RNAcentral describes it as "partial 16S ribosomal RNA". It matches the Rfam family "Bacterial small subunit ribosomal RNA", at positions 524 to 776 of the family's 1533-position model. The record is from RNAcentral.
UACAGAGGGUGCGAGCGUUAAUCGGAAUUACUGGGCGUAAAGCGUGCGUAGACGGCUAUCUAAGUCGGGUGUGAAAGCCCCGGGCUCAACCUGGGAAUUGCAUUCGAGACUGAAUAGCUAGGGUACGGUAGAGGGAAGUGGAAUUUCCGGUGUAGCGGUGAAAUGCGUAGAUAUCGGAAGGAACAUCAGUGGCGAAAGCGGCUUCCUGGACCAGUACCGACGUUCAGGCACGAAAGCGUGGGGAGCAAACAGG